CAAACUUCAGAUAAAUUAUAUUAUGCUCAAAAAGUGAAGUUCACCCUAAAAAAGGUUGAGCACGCACGCUUACACCCUUGUUAUGUCCAGAGAAAGAGAGGUGGAGAAUCAGCUGCACCCUUAUCUCUACAAAUCAAAACAGGGCCAGUAUACUAAUGAAGAAAAAUUUCCUAUUAAAUAUAAGACUUAUAUAUAUAUAAUAAUAUACAUAAUAAUUUAUCUAACUAGCUAGCUAAACAUUCCAAUGAUGAUCAACACAAAUCAUGAGCUGUCUGAAUCCGAUUAUUUGGCGGCUUCCCAAUUUCCAGACAACCAAUUGGUGGAAGUGUUGGAGUUUUCAGUUCACCAUAAGUCUUCCAACAGAAUGGAUCAUAAAGGUGAUACUUUUCUUGAACUGGUUCUAACUCAACACUUGUUAAUGAAACAUCAACACAUGGCAAGCUAUCACUACAUGCAAAGUGAACUGGCUUAACUGUGUAUGUUCCCUUUAUGUUUUCAUAGUUGAUUCCUGAGAGUGAUACUGCUGAUGUUUGGUUUGUACAACUUCUUUUAUCGCAGUAGAAUUGGUCGAUUACAAUUGGGAGUUGAACUUCGGAAACUUUUAUGUUUGAGAAUAGUACUCCUUGUACUGAGCCUGAUCCACCCUGCAUAAAAUGUUACUUAAUUUUAAUGUUUGAGACACAAGCUCUGGUAUUAUCCUUUCCUAGACUUCCAAUGCUGAUUCCAUGCCCUGGUCCGCAAUUGACAUUAUGUACAUAUACAUUUGAGCAUCCAGUUUGUAUUGAAAUACAGUCAUCUCCUGCACAACAAUUUAAAUUACUAUUAAUUGAAUUGACACUAAUAGUCAUUUUACACCCGUCUUUAGGGAAAUUUAAACUGUCUCACUGUGCAAAUAGUUAAAAUUUAAACCAACACUUAGCCAACUUGAACUAUUUAUGCA
Long non-coding RNA from Cicer arietinum (chickpea), 940 nucleotides. RefSeq lists it as uncharacterized. Lineage: Eukaryota; Viridiplantae; Streptophyta; Magnoliopsida; Fabales; Fabaceae. The record is from RefSeq and is a predicted model, not a curated record.